Molecule: unclassified non-coding RNA, 329 nt
Filed under: uncultured fungus
Lineage: Eukaryota; Fungi
Description: partial contains 5.8S ribosomal RNA and internal transcribed spacer 2
Rfam family: 5.8S ribosomal RNA (bases 1-133)
Source: RNAcentral
UGGUUCUGGCAUCGAUGAAGAACGCAGCGAAAUGCGAUAAGUAAUGUGAAUUGCAGAAUUCAGUGAAUCAUCGAAUCUUUGAACGCACAUUGCGCCCCUCGGUAUUCCGGGGGGCAUACCUGUUCGAGCGUCACAACACCUCUCAAGCGUAGCUUGGUAUUGGGCUUCGCCCCCUCCCUGAGGGCGGCGUGCCUGAAAAGCAGUGGCGGUCCGGUCCGGGCUUGAACGUAGUAAAUUCUCUCCCGUUCUGAAGCUCCUCUCCGUGGCUGGCCAUAAAACCCCCCAUUCUCUCAAGAAUUGACCUCGGAUCAGGUAGGGAUACCCGCUGA